Dreissena polymorpha is the source of this 1496-nucleotide long non-coding RNA. RefSeq lists it as uncharacterized. The transcript is spliced from 8 exons. Lineage: Eukaryota; Metazoa; Mollusca; Bivalvia; Myida; Dreissenidae. The record is from RefSeq and is a predicted model, not a curated record.
ACUGUCUAUAGGGAAGAUCUAAAGAACGCUUUCACAGUGGGGAUCGAACCCGUGACCUCCUGGUUGCUAGGCGGACACCAUAUCCUUUACGCCACAGCUACCUCAGGGUUUGGGGUAACGGUACAGUUUGUCAAGACACCAAACGCAAAGCCUAUCCCAAGGCAAUGCCCCAUUUGCGUGGUAAAAGGCAACACGACUGUGUACCUCCGGGUAACAGACCACGUUCGCUGGGUGCAAGCGCUGACGGCAGACCCCAUGAAGCCGUUGAUGUCAGAGGCACGUGCUAAGACCGGUCGGAAAGUGAAGAAGACAAAGCCGAGGAAUUACUACUCUUGCUGGCUGUGCGACCGGUCGGUGAUUGACCGGCUGCGUCAUCUAGAACAGGAGCACAAAAUGGAGGCUGGGACAUUCAAUUUUGUUUACACAAGAGGGCCGUUUCCGGAAAGACGCGAAAACUUCAGGAAAGGUGACCAGCAGACUCGCCACUCAUGAUGACUCGGCAUAGGAGGAUGAGAAGGUGGAGGAUGAGGAGGAGGAGGAAGAGGACUUUUCAUUCCUAAUGCCGAAAUACUGCCUGAGCCUGGAACCCAAUGCAAGGGUGAUGCAUGGUCGGAGAAGCUGCAAUUUCAAUCGUUGACUCAUAUGUAGACUACAUGUUCCUGCGGAGCAGGCCAGGUGGGUUGGCAAACGAGUCGAAAACACAAGAGGUCAACAUGAAGAUCAACCGGUUCCUGGCCCUGUCUGGCUACUUGGAAGGAGUGGUGUUGAGUGACAUGCUGUUGUGGAUGGGCCAUAUGGAGGUCCACGACAGUUCCUCAACACCACUCACCAGCUGAAGACGGUGCGGAAUGCACUAACGGCAAUCAAGAACUUCCUGAAGUGGUGCGAGGGAAUGGUCUAGCGGACGCCCGCACAUUGAACAAUGCUUCCUGACCUCAACCUGCCUGGAUAAGAGCCGUCGCGAGGUUGUUCGGAGGGUAGAGGAGAGUGCGGCCAUCCUGACGGACGCAAACCUGGAGCGCCACUUCACUGAGAGUGAGCAUGUAGUGAAAACGAUCAAGGUGAUCCAGGAGCCCCCAGCUGGCACACCUGAAAGAUAUUCGGGGAAUAAUCAUUUAACUGAUAGCGCUCUAUAACGCCUCCUGAACUGGCAAGUGUACCUAGAGAUUGAGCUGGAGACAGUGAAGGUGCUGACCUCUGUGUGGAACACUUAGAAGCUGGCAAGUUUUCAUAUUGAAGGGUAUGGUUCCCAACCGCCCAUCACACACAGAAUGAAGCUUGUCGUCUUCCGCAGUAAAAACUGGGUGCUGGAAGAUGCUUACUGCUAUAUUGACUGCUUCCGAGCGCUUCCUGGACCUAAAAAUUAUCUCCCAGCAGCAACCUCCCCAAGGUGUGACGAGAGUCUUCAAGUGUUCCAGACGGCUGGUGAUGCAUUUCAAGAAAAGCCAUCAGAAUCUUGCAAUGAUCUGUAUACUUAAUAAAUGACAAAACAACAA